CCCCCGCAACUCCUAUCGGCAGUGAGCGGUUGGGGAAUCGGAACUUGGGCAGCGGCGAGCGGGUGGGCGUUCGGCGGCGAGAGGUAGGGAGGCUUGGUGUCCAAGCGAGCGGCGAGAGGUAGGCGUGCUCUGCGCUGACUGUGUUAGCGUCCUCGUCGGCGGGUGAAAUCAGCAGCCACGUGGUCGGUCGUCCGAAGCGGCGGCAAUGGCGGCGUGGUGUGAUUGGCUUCAACAGAACUUACAUCCACUCGAGCGGAAGGGGACGAGCGGCCGUUGGGUGGCGAUAGCUGGUGACUUCGGCGGCCUCACCCUCAGAUUCUGUGUGUACUGGCGCAUCCCCUGCAAUUGCAAGCCAAGAUUGAACACAAAUUUGCAUAGAUGAGGCUAUAUGGUCCGAUAUGUCAGAUUAGAUGAUGUCAGGGACAAAUCGAAAAUAACUUAUGCCUCCAGAUUAGACC
Molecule: long non-coding RNA, 458 nt
Organism: Lolium rigidum
Lineage: Eukaryota; Viridiplantae; Streptophyta; Magnoliopsida; Poales; Poaceae
Exons: 2
Source: RefSeq, a predicted model, not a curated record